RNAcentral lists this ribosomal RNA (492 nucleotides) under uncultured bacterium. RNAcentral describes it as "partial 16S ribosomal RNA". It matches the Rfam family "Bacterial small subunit ribosomal RNA", at positions 29 to 507 of the family's 1533-position model. The record is from RNAcentral.
AGUGAACGCUGGCGGUAGGCCUAACACAUGCAAGUCGAACGGCAGCACAGUAAGAGCUUGCUCUUACGGGUGGCGAGUGGCGGACGGGUGAGGAAUACAUCGGAAUCUACUUUUUCGUGGGGGAUAACGUAGGGAAACUUACGCUAAUACCGCAUACGACCUACGGGUGAAAGCAGGGGAUCUUCGGACCUUGCGCGAUUGAAUGAGCCGAUGUCGGAUUAGCUAGUUGGCGGGGUAAAGGCCCACCAAGGCGACGAUCCGUAGCUGGUCUGAGAGGAUGAUCAGCCACACUGGAACUGAGACACGGUCCAGACUCCUACGGGAGGCAGCAGUGGGGAAUAGUGGGCAAUGGGCGCAAGCCUGAUCCAGCCAUACCGCGUGGGUGAAGAAGGCCUUCGGGUUGUAAAGCCCUUUUGUUGGGAAAGAAAAGCAGCAGGUUAAUACCCCGCUGUUCUGGCGGUACCCAAAGAAGAAGCACCGGCUAACUUCGUG